Molecule: small nuclear RNA, 107 nt
Organism: Synchiropus splendidus (mandarinfish)
Lineage: Eukaryota; Metazoa; Chordata; Actinopteri; Syngnathiformes; Callionymidae
Source: RefSeq, a predicted model, not a curated record
GUAACAGUUCGCUGUUACAUCAAAUAAAGUUGGUACGAUACAGAGAAGAUUAGCAUGGCCCCUGGCGCAAGGAUGACACGCAUAAUCGCGAAGCGUUACCAAUCUUU